RNAcentral lists this transfer RNA (87 nucleotides) under Granulosicoccus sp. Its description in RNAcentral is "tRNA-Leu". It matches the Rfam family "tRNA". Rfam says of the family: Transfer RNA (tRNA) molecules are approximately 80 nucleotides in length. The record is from RNAcentral. Lineage: Bacteria; Pseudomonadati; Pseudomonadota; Gammaproteobacteria; Chromatiales; Granulosicoccaceae.
GCCCGGGUGGCGAAAUUGGUAGACGCAAGGGACUUAAAAUCCCUCGGUAGAAAUACCGUGCCGGUUCAAGUCCGGCCCCGGGCACCA